GAUAGGCCGGGAGUGUAAGAGUAGUAAUACUUUCAGCUGACCGGUACUAAUAGGUCGAGGGCUUGAUUAU
RNAcentral lists this ribosomal RNA (70 nucleotides) under Thermaerobacter sp. RNAcentral describes it as "partial 23S ribosomal RNA". It matches the Rfam family "Bacterial large subunit ribosomal RNA", at positions 2855 to 2925 of the family's 2925-position model. Lineage: Bacteria; Bacillati; Bacillota; Clostridia; Eubacteriales; Clostridiales Family XVII. Incertae Sedis. The record is from RNAcentral.